GUGCCAGCCGCCGCGGUAAUUCCAGCUCCAAUAGCGUAUAUUAAAGUUGUUGUGGUUAAAAAGCUCGUAGUUGAACCUUGGGCCUGGCUGGCCGGUCCGCCUCACCGCGUGCACUGGUCCGGCCGGGCCUUUCCCUCUGUGGAACCCCAUACCCUUCACUGGGCGUGGCGGGGAAACAGGACAUUUACUUUGAAAAAAUUAGAGUGCUCCAGGCAGGCCUAUGCUCGAAUACAUUAGCAUGGAGUAAUAAAAUAGGACGCGCGGUUCUAUUUUGUUGGUUUAUAGGACCGCCGUAAUGAUUAAUAGGGACAGUCGGGGGCAUCAGUAUUCAACUGUCAGAGGUGAAAUUCUUGGAUCAGUUGAAGACUAACUACUGCGAAAGCAUUUGCCAAGGAUGUUUUCAUUAAUCAGGAACGAAAGUUAGGGGAUCGAAGACGAUCAGAUACCGUCGUAGUCUUAACCAUAAACUAUGCCGACUAGGGAUCGGGACGGUGUUAUUCAUGACCCGUUCGGCACCUUACGAGAAAUCAAAGUGCUUGGGCUCCAGGGGGAGUAUGUUCGCAAGGCUGAAACUUAAAGAAAUUGACGGAAGGGCACCACCAGGGGUGGAGCCUGCGGCUUAAUUUGACUCAACACGGGGAAACUCACCAGGUCCAGACACAAUAAGGAUUGACAGAUUGAGAGCUCUUUCUUGAUUUGUGGGUGGUGGUGCAUGGCCGUUCUUAGUUGAUGGGGUGACAUGUCUGCUUAACUGCGAAAUCGACGAGACCUGAGCUGCUAAAUAGUCCGCAUGCUCGCAGUGCGCUGCUCUAGAGGGACUUCCGCUCAGGCUGAGAGGAUGAGCAUAACAGGCUGUGAAUGCUUAAAUGAUCUGGUCCGGAACGGCGGCUAACAAUGACAGGU
Molecule: ribosomal RNA, 903 nt
Filed under: uncultured fungus
Lineage: Eukaryota; Fungi
Description: SSU rRNA
Rfam family: Eukaryotic small subunit ribosomal RNA
Source: RNAcentral